This 72-nucleotide transfer RNA is filed under the name Cavia porcellus (domestic guinea pig). It matches the Rfam family "tRNA". From Rfam's summary of the family: Transfer RNA (tRNA) molecules are approximately 80 nucleotides in length. Their secondary structure includes four short double-helical elements and three loops (D, anti-codon, and T loops). Lineage: Eukaryota; Metazoa; Chordata; Mammalia; Rodentia; Caviidae. The record is from Rfam by way of RNAcentral.
UGAGAUAUAGCUCAGUGGUACAGUGCUUAUCUAGUAUUUAUGAGGCUCUGGGUUUGAUUCCCAGCAUGGCAA